CACCCCAGGUGGCAGGGGAGACACAUAAUCAUGGAAGUGGUCUUCCCAGGUCGAGGCUUAUCCUCCGCACUCCGGAUGUGCCAACCCUGCGAUUUUCCCAAAAGUGGGAAACGGCCGCAUCAUCUGUGGUCAUGGGGGCUGCAUUCAUACUUUCUUCUG
This 159-nucleotide small nuclear RNA is filed under the name Callithrix jacchus (white-tufted-ear marmoset). RNAcentral's name for it is "U1 spliceosomal RNA (ENSCJAG00000027450.3)". It matches the Rfam family "U1 spliceosomal RNA". From Rfam's summary of the family: U1 is a small nuclear RNA (snRNA) component of the spliceosome (involved in pre-mRNA splicing). Its 5' end forms complementary base pairs with the 5' splice junction, thus defining the 5' donor site of an intron. The record is from RNAcentral. Lineage: Eukaryota; Metazoa; Chordata; Mammalia; Primates; Cebidae.